Non-coding RNA from Zootermopsis nevadensis, 223 nucleotides. NCBI's taxonomy places the organism in Eukaryota, Metazoa, Arthropoda, Insecta, Blattodea, Termopsidae. The record is from RefSeq and is a predicted model, not a curated record.
AGGACACUUGCCACGUUUUCCAUACUGGUCCGAUAAAUGUCUGUCUGUAUCUACAAACGAUGGAAGUGGAAGGUAAACAGUUAAUUGUGGUUACAAAACAUGGAGGGAAAAUGAGGAACGGUGGACGUUUGCAGAAUUAUAUAAAUCUUGGAAAACUCCUGUCACUUCGUCACUCUUAGAUCCAAACAAAUCUCUUCAGAACCCUCUUCUCAAACACCCUCAG